AGCACGUACAUUACUCACUAAAUUUAAUUCUUAAACUAGGAAAGUAUAAUGUCAGCCCCAACAGUACCCCAUGUUCUGGCACUUUGCUUCUGAGCAUGGGGACCCAGAUCCCUGGGCUGCAGCCCCAGGACUGGCCCAGCCCGAGUCUCCUUGGCCCCCCUCCCGGUGAGGACUGCUCCUUGUUUUGGAGCUCAGAGCCUGGCUCUGAGUUGUCCCAGCCACUCUCUGUUCCCUCCCUGUCAAGCCCUGCAGGCUGAAUCCUCACGCUGCGUGGUGGCCCGAAGUGGCCCAGCUGUGAGGAGCCAUCGUGAGGAAUAAUGUUUGUUUAAUACGGAGAGCGCUGGCAUCACACAGUCUGCAGGCUGCACCCCGGGCAGAGAGGAGAGGGAAGACAGCCGAAGACUUCAGGCCCAGCUCUUUAAAACUUGUUCUGGGAGCCCACCUGAGACCUCGCAGGGGACAUACACGGCUCAUCUCACCAGGCGGGAGGAGAACUCGUCCCACUUAAGGGAGGCUCUCAGGUGCUGCAGACGUGACCUGCCCUGCGGUUCAGGGUGGGGCAGGCCCUGAUCACAGAGAGCUAAAAGCAGGACUCAGCGAUCGAGUGCACCUGCGAUCAUGGCAGCCAGAGGCGGGAGCAGCCCGUGUCCCCAGCAGACGGACAAACAUGGGUGGUCUGUAAAUGAUCUGGAGCUUCACUCGGCCUCAGAAGGAGGGAAAUUCUGGUGCUGCUACAACACGGAUGCCCCUGAGGACUUACGGGCAGUGCGUGAGCCAGCCACAGAAAGGCAAGCGCUGGGGACUCUGCUCACACCAGGGCCCCAAGCGGGCGAAAGGGAAGAAGAAGAAGCAUGAAGUGACCUAAACCAUGUCCCGGGAGAAGAGGCCAAAGGACCUGGGAUGUUGAAAGUGAAGGAAGGAAGAAAUGAAUGAAUGAAUGAGUGAGUGAAAGACAAGCGAAGGGACCGUUGGGGGACCCUGACCACUGUCCCCCUUCCACUGCAGCAAGAGCCCUGCAUGUGCAGAGCUCGGACGGGGCCCAGGCGUGGGCGCUUCCAACCCCUCCCCCUGGCUGUGGGAGGGCCCCAGCUGUGGGAGGGCCCCAGCUGUGGGAGG
Molecule: non-coding RNA, 1116 nt
Organism: Microcebus murinus (gray mouse lemur)
Lineage: Eukaryota; Metazoa; Chordata; Mammalia; Primates; Cheirogaleidae
Source: RefSeq, a predicted model, not a curated record